AUACUUACCUGACAGGGGAGAUUCCAGGCAGAGGAUUGUCUAUUGCACUCUGAACGUGCUGGCUCCUGUGAUUUCCCCAAAUAUGGGAAACUCCACUGCAUAAUUUAUGGUAGUGAGGGACUUCAUUCAUGCUCUCUCAUG
RNAcentral lists this small nuclear RNA (141 nucleotides) under Neotoma lepida (desert woodrat). RNAcentral's name for it is "U1 spliceosomal RNA". It matches the Rfam family "U1 spliceosomal RNA". Rfam says of the family: U1 is a small nuclear RNA (snRNA) component of the spliceosome (involved in pre-mRNA splicing). Its 5' end forms complementary base pairs with the 5' splice junction, thus defining the 5' donor site of an intron. There are significant differences in sequence and secondary structure between metazoan and yeast U1 snRNAs, the latter being much longer (568 nucleotides as compared to 164 nucleotides in human). Lineage: Eukaryota; Metazoa; Chordata; Mammalia; Rodentia; Cricetidae. The record is from Rfam by way of RNAcentral.